This 486-nucleotide ribosomal RNA is filed under the name uncultured bacterium. RNAcentral describes it as "bacterial SSU rRNA". It matches the Rfam family "Bacterial small subunit ribosomal RNA", at positions 28 to 521 of the family's 1533-position model. The record is from RNAcentral.
GACGAACGCUGGCGGCGUGCCUAACACAUGCAAGUCGAGCGAGUGGAGUUCUUCGGAACAAAGCUAGCGGCGGACGGGUGAGUAACACGUGGGCAACCUGCCUCAUAGAGUGGAAUAGCCUCCCGAAAGGGAGAUUAAUACCGCAUAAGAUUGUAGCUUCGCAUGAAGUAGCAAUUAAAGGAGCAAUCCGCUAUGAGAUGGGCCCGCGGCGCAUUAGCUAGUUGGUGAGGUAACGGCUCACCAAGGCGACGAUGCGUAGCCGACCUGAGAGGGUGAUCGGCCACAUUGGGACUGAGACACGGUCCAGACUCCUACGGGAGGCAGCAGUGGGGAAUAUUGCACAAUGGGGAAACCCUGAUGCAGCAACGCCGCGUGAGUGAUGACGGCCUCGGUUGUAAGACUCUGUCUUCUAGGACGAAGUAAUAGACGGUACCGUCGAGGAGGAAGGACCGACCGGCUAACCUAACGUCGCCACGCAGCCGCGGU